Molecule: ribosomal RNA, 253 nt
Filed under: uncultured bacterium
Lineage: Bacteria
Description: partial 16S ribosomal RNA
Rfam family: Bacterial small subunit ribosomal RNA
Source: RNAcentral
UACGGGGGGGGCAAGCGUUGUUCGGAAUUACUGGGCGUAAAGGGCGCGUAGGCGGUUCGAUAAGUCAGCUGUGAAAACCAUGGGCUUAACUCAUGGCCUGCAGUUGAGACUGUCGGGCUGGAGUGUGGGAGAGGAGAGUGGAAUUCCUGGUGUAGCGGUGAAAUGCGUAGAUAUCAGGAGGAACACCGGUGGCGAAGGCGGCUCUCUGGACCACAACUGACGCUGAGGAGCGAAAGCCAGGGGAGCAAACGGG